UACCCAAUUCCUUUUUUAUAUAUUGUGCUCUCGUUUCUAAGCCUAACAUAAACCACGAAUUCACAAAGCUUUUCAAUCAAAUAAAAAAAAAAAGGUUCGAAUUAUUUGAUCGACCUUUUGAUUCUUUUCGCAUAAUAAUAAUGACAACAUUUAUUCUUCCUCUCUCUUACUCCAUUUCUUAGCUACAAAUCCCUUCACUUCAGGUGAUACUCCAUUUCUCAACAACGAAGGCCUUGACUUCCCUUCCAAAUUUGUAAGGCGAUAUAUCCAGGAAGCUUCGAGCUAGGUGUUUUCUAGCGAGUGUGGCCGAGUUUAGGCAUUAUUCAAGAGGGGUUGAAAUAAAGAGAAAGUAACAGGUACUUGAAGCAUGAAGAACAUAAUGGGAAUGAGUGCAGACAGUUACUUGUUAUGUUUCUUAGUUUUAAUAUUUUGAAUUAGCGUUAUUGUGUUCCCUUAUUUUUAAUCGGUUUUAAAAAGGGCCAUGUUUGAAUUGGCUCCAACUUGUGAAUGUUUUAUUCUACUUUGUUUUGAGGUUGUGAACUUAAAUUUUAUUUUGAAAGUUGGUUUUUAUUUUUAGACUUCCGCUGUGUGACUUUGAAAAUUAGCCUUACCUGUUAUCACGGUGGCGGUAAUAUUUUGGUUAUAUCCUAAAAAGUGUUUUAUUUAGAGUAAAAUGAGUAUUUUUAAAAGAAGGAAAUUUCCAGGGUAUUACAGUUUGGGUGCGCUUUGGCUGUGGUUCGAUGGUGCGGUGGUUUGUGGGUGAGGUGGGUUCGAUGGACUGAC
This is a long non-coding RNA of Chenopodium quinoa (quinoa), 783 nucleotides long. RefSeq lists it as uncharacterized. The transcript is spliced from 3 exons. The record is from RefSeq and is a predicted model, not a curated record. NCBI's taxonomy places the organism in Eukaryota, Viridiplantae, Streptophyta, Magnoliopsida, Caryophyllales, Amaranthaceae.